This 1343-nucleotide ribosomal RNA is filed under the name uncultured bacterium. RNAcentral's name for it is "16S ribosomal RNA". It matches the Rfam family "Bacterial small subunit ribosomal RNA", at positions 28 to 1378 of the family's 1533-position model. The record is from RNAcentral.
GACGAACGCUGGCGGCGUGCUUAACACAUGCAAGUCGAACGGAAAGGCCCUGCUUUUGUGGGGUGCUCGAGUGGCGAACGGGUGGGUAACACGUGAGUAACCUGCCCUUGACUUUGGGAUAACUUCAGGAAACUGGGGCUAAUACCGGAUAGGAGCUCCUGCUGCAUGGUGGGGGUUGGAAAGUUUCGGCGGUUGGGGAUGGACUCGCGGCUUAUCAGCUUGUUGGUGGGGUAGUGGCUUACCAAGGCUUUGACGGGUAGCCGGCCUGAGAGGGUGACCGGCCACAUUGGGACUGAGAUACGGCCCAGACUCCUACGGGAGGCAGCAGUGGGGAAUAUUGCACAAUGGGCGGAAGCCUGAUGCAGCAACGCCGCGUGCAGGAUGACGGCCUUCGGGUUGUAAACCGCUUUCGCCUGUGACGAAGCGUGAGUGACGGUAAUGGGUAAAGAAGCACCGGCUAACUACGUGCCAGCAGCCGCGGUGAUACGUAGGGUGCGAGCGUUGUCCGGAUUUAUUGGGCGUAAAGGGCUCGUAGGUGGUUGAUCGCGUCGGAAGUGUAAUCUUGGGGCUUAACCCUGAGCGUGCUUUCGAUACGGGUUGACUUGAGGAAGGUAGGGGAGAAUGGAAUUCCUGGUGGAGCGGUGGAAUGCGCAGAUAUCAGGAGGAACACCAGUGGCGAAGGCGGUUCUCUGGGCCUUUCCUGACGCUGAGGAGCGAAAGCGUGGGGAGCGAACAGGCUUAGAUACCCUGGUAGUCCACGCUGUAAACGGUGGGUACUAGGUGUGGGGUCCAUUCCACGGGUUCCGUGCCGUAGCUAACGCUUUAAGUACCCCGCCUGGGGAGUACGGCCGCAAGGCUAAAACUCAAAGGAAUUGACGGGGCCCCGCACAAGCGGCGGAGCAUGCGGAUUAAUUCGAUGCAACGCGUAGAACCUUACCUGGGUUUGACAUGGAUCGGGAGUGCUCAGAGAUGGGUGUGCCUCUUUUGGGGUCGGUUCACAGGUGGUGCAUGGCUGUCGUCAGCUCGUGUCGUGAGAUGUUGGGUUAAGUCCCGCAACGAGCGCAACCCUUGUUCACUGUUGCCAGCACGUUAUGGUGGGGACUCAGUGGAGACCGCCGGGGUCAACUCGGAGGAAGGUGGGGAUGACGUCAAGUCAUCAUGCCCCUUAUGUCCAGGGCUUCACGCAUGCUACAAUGGCUGGUACAGAGAGUGGCGAGCCUGUGAGGGUGAGCGAAUCUCGGAAAGCCGGUCUCAGUUCGGAUUGGGGUCUGCAACUCGACCUCAUGAAGUCGGAGUCGCUAGUAAUCGCAGAUCAGCAACGCUGCGGUGAAUACGUUCCCGGG